Molecule: ribosomal RNA, 523 nt
Filed under: uncultured bacterium
Lineage: Bacteria
Description: bacterial SSU rRNA
Rfam family: Bacterial small subunit ribosomal RNA
Source: RNAcentral
GGGGAAUAUUGGACAAUGGACCAAGAGUCUGAUCCAGCAAUUCUGUGUGCACGAUGAAGUUUUUCGGAAUGUAAAGUGCUUUCAGUUGGGAAGAAAAGAAUGACGGUACCAACAGAAGAAGUGACGGCUAAAUACGUGCCAGCAGCCGCGGUAAUACGUAUGUCACAAGCGUUAUCCGGAUUUAUUGGGCGUAAAGCGCGUCUAGGUGGUUAUGUAAGCCUGAUGUGAAAAUGCAGGGCUCAACUCUGUAUUGCGUUGGAAACUGUGUAACUAGAGUACUGGAGAGGUAAGCGGAACUACAAGUGUAGAGGUGAAAUUCGUAGAUAUUUGUAGGAAUGCCGAUGGGGAAGCCAGCUUACUGGACAGAUACUGACGCUGAAGCGCGAAAGCGUGGGUAGCAAACAGGAUUAGAUACCCUGGUAGUCCACGCCGUAAACGAUGAUUACUAGGUGUUGGGGGUCGAACCUCAGCGCCCAAGCAAACGCGAUAAGUAAUCCGCCUGGGGAGUACGUACGCAAGUAUG